Molecule: ribosomal RNA, 1384 nt
Filed under: uncultured Marinobacterium sp.
Lineage: Bacteria; Pseudomonadati; Pseudomonadota; Gammaproteobacteria; Oceanospirillales; Oceanospirillaceae
Description: bacterial SSU rRNA
Rfam family: Bacterial small subunit ribosomal RNA
Source: RNAcentral
AGAGUUUGAUCAUGGCUCAGAUUGAACGCUGGCGGCAGGCCUAACACAUGCAAGUCGAGCGGUAGCACAGAGAAGCUUGCUUCUUGGGUGACGAGCGGCGGACGGGUGAGUAACGCGUGGGAAUCUACCUGGUAGUGGGGGACAACAGUCGGAAACGACUGCUAAUACCGCAUACGCCCUUCGGGGGAAAGUGGGGGUCUUCGGACCUCACGCUAUCAGAUGAGCCCGCGUCGGAUUAGCUUGUUGGUGAGGUAAAGGCUCACCAAGGCGAUGAUCCGUAGCUGGUCUGAGAGGAUGACCAGCCACACUGGGACUGAGACACGGCCCAGACUCCUACGGGAGGCAGCAGUGGGGAAUAUUGGACAAUGGGGGCAACCCUGAUCCAGCCAUGCCGCGUGUGUGAAGAAGGCCUUCGGGUUGUAAAGCACUUUCAGCUGUGAGGAAAGGCAAGUGGUUAAUACCCGCUUGCUGUGACGUUAACAGCAGAAGAAGGACCGGCUAACUCCGUGCCAGCAGCCGCGGUAAUACGGAGGGUCCGAGCGUUAAUCGGAAUUACUGGGCGUAAAGCGCGCGUAGGUGGUUCAGUCAGUCAGAUGUGAAAGCCCCGGGCUCAACCUGGGAACUGCACCUGAUACUGCUGAGCUAGAGUACGGUAGAGGGUCGUGGAAUUUCCGGUGUAGCGGUGAAAUGCGUAGAGAUCGGAAGGAACACCAGUGGCGAAGGCGACUACCUGGACCGAUACUGACACUGAGGUGCGAAAGCGUGGGUAGCAAACAGGAUUAGAUACCCUGGUGGUCCACGCCGUAAACGAUGUCAACUAGCCGUUGGGGGACUUGAUCCUUUAGUGGCGAAGCUAACGCGAUAAGUUGACCGCCUGGGGAGUACGGCCGCAAGGUUAAAACUCAAAUGAAUUGGCGGGGACCCGCACAAGCGGAGGAGCACGUGGUUUAAUUCGAUGGCAAUCGAAGAACCUUACCAGGGUUUGACAUGUAUCGCAUAUUCCCAGAAACGGGAAUAGCCUUCGAGGGUGAUACACAGGUGCUGCAUGGCCGUCGUCAGCUCGUGUCGUGAGAUGUAGGGUUAAGUCCCGAAACGAGCGCAACCCCUAUCUCAUGUUAUAUGUGUCUUGAGAAACUGCCUCGGUAAAACGGGGAGGAAGGUGGGGAUGACGUCUGGUCCGCAUAGCCCUUAUGUCCUGGGCUACACACGCGCUACAAUGGUAGGUACAAUGGGCAGCCAAACCGCAAGGUGGAGCUAAUCCUAAAAAACCUAUCUCAGUUCGGAUUGUGGGCUGAAACUCGCCCACAUGAAGUUGGAUUCGCUAGUAAUCGUGGAUCAGCAUGCCGCGGUGAAUACGUUCUCGGGUCUUGCACACACCCCCGUC